Molecule: long non-coding RNA, 2117 nt
Organism: Gadus chalcogrammus (walleye pollock)
Lineage: Eukaryota; Metazoa; Chordata; Actinopteri; Gadiformes; Gadidae
Exons: 3
Source: RefSeq, a predicted model, not a curated record
GCUCAAUUGCAUGCAUGACUUCCGGUCCGAAGUGUUGUCUCGCGGCGGAGCGCUUGAGCUGCCGUGCCCCACUAUUAGCGUGCGCUACUCCCGUUGGCCUGCGUUGGUACCGCAUGUAGCUGUAGGCUCCUCCCCCUGUUAUCGUCAGUGUGCCGCCAAUCGAGUCAACAGGUAUAGUGUGUUUUAAUCCAGCAUUGGGCCCAUACGGUAAUUUCAAUAAUAAACAUUUUUACCAAUUGUAUACAUUCUGUUUUUAGAUGAGGGACGGCUACUGAGCAACCUGAACGGCUGAACCCUGCUGCUUUGUCUUUAUAUUUCGUCUGCAGUUUCAAUUACAGCGCCGUCCGCUGUUGUGUUUACAGCUUUGUCUGUUGUCCUUGUUUAUAGCGCUGUUUGUUGUCUGUUGCCUACAGCGUUGCAACAGAUUUGGCGUUGUGUUACCACGGCCGAAACCGUUACAGCCAUUUUUCAUAAGUGUGCCGCCUUGGCCAUUGGGUUUCUUUUGCUUUGAAUAUAGUUUGUUUAUUUACUUUCUUUUCUGUUUUUGAGCAAAGGAUAUUUUGUUUGGAUUGAUUGUUUGCCCCGUUUUGGUUUCGUAUUAGUUUUGUUUUAUUGUGUUUGAUUCUUGUCUGUUUUACUUUACAGAGGUCUGUGGUGGCGGCGGUGUCCCUUUUCUUCCUGUGUGCUGUGCUUCCCUGGGAUUUGUGUUUGUGUGUGUGAUUAUCAUUUACCCGGGUGAUUUAUAUUAUUUGGACCCUUCCCUUCGCUAGUCCCCCCAUUCACAUCAGCCUCCGUCAGAACAGUUUAUUGUGUGAUUAGUCCAUUGGAUUAAUUAAAUAAAAUAUAUAUUGUUAAAACUGUGAACCACGUCUCCUGCCAUUAGAGUCAACUUACUUGCGUGUCCUAAAUUAAAUCUUUGGGUGAAAGUCCCAAGGUGGCGUUGUCUGCAACCUCCUGAACACGGGCUGUGCUUGGUGUGGUCCCUAACGUGACCUCGCCCCACGCCCGCUUCUCCCCUCGCCCUGCCACACACUGAUGACAGCAAACGUAUAUAGAACGCAGAGUCUAUAGGACGUUAAAUUGCCAACUUGGCUUAUUCACUGCUGAAAGAACGAAAGGCAGCAGCUUUACUUUGUAAACUGCCAACUUAUACACAACUCGUAUGAGAUGUGGUGCUUUACUGCAAACGACUGUAUCAGUGUGUUUUAUCUACUGAUUAUACACAUUUUAUGUGUUUAGGCCAUUUAUAAGAUCUCGUUAACAUCACUAAAGGUAAUUUCCAAAUACAUUAAAGAAAAGAAAAAGACAAAAGCAAAGAGACUUUGCAGCAGUAGCACACUUUUAUUUGAACAGAGUGGGAGACGAAUCAGGGGCCGUAUUCACAAAGCAUUUUAUCUUACCGCUAGGAGUGCUCCUAACUCGCGCUAAACCAUUUUACGUAGGAGUUUUUUCUUAAAAGUUAUUCACAAAGCCGCUGAGACCUAGGCUACUCUUACUAAGGAUAAAUCACAAAGAGUGACCUAAGAGUGACGCGCCGUUGCUAUGGAUUACGUAAAUUCUCGUGCACGAGUUUAGAAGCGGUCAGUUCGGUGAUUGGAGCAAGGUACGUUUUAUUACUCUGUUUUCUGGGAAUAAUUGACGCAAGCAGAAACCAGAAAACAAGCCGUUUUUUCGUUUUGACAAGAAAACGAAAAUCAAGAUUUCAGUUUGUUUAUUCGUUUCUACGUUUUGUCAAAAAAACGAAAAUCAAUAUUUCAGUUUGUUUAUUCGUUUUUUGGUUCUUACUGAGCGAAACGAGUUUACCACUCAAUAUCUGGGGCCGUAUUCACAAAGGAUCUUAGGGCUAAAAGUAGGUCCUAACUGGCGAAUUUAGGAGUAACUCCUAAAAAUAAUGGGCGUGUCACUCUUAAAUUUAGGACUCCUAACUUUUUUCACUAAGAGCAAUUCACAAAGUAUUUUAGGACUAAAAGUAGCACCUAAAUCUAGGAGAGCUUAAAAGUCCUCAAGAGGACUCCUAACUCAGUAAGACCUAUUCACAAAGAAUCUUAAAAUGCCUGCGAGACGAAAUGUUAGGGUAUUCAACUUAUUGUGGAGUUAAUGCGCGAUGCAAUAACAUC